Molecule: transfer RNA, 89 nt
Filed under: Streptomyces chromofuscus
Lineage: Bacteria; Bacillati; Actinomycetota; Actinomycetes; Kitasatosporales; Streptomycetaceae
Description: tRNA-Leu
Source: RNAcentral
CGUCCAGUGGGCGGGGUCGUCGCCGUCGGCCUGGAGACGGUCGGUGACCUGGAGGAGGGCACCGCCGUCGAUCGCCUUGACCUCGACGG